GAUACUACCUGCCUUCUCUGCCAAACCCUCUGGCCCUAACCUAUCAUGUAUGAAAGGUGAAAUAGGAGCAUACUCUGAUUUCACAGUUUUAACCAUCAUCCUGUGACCCCAAAAGUCCAUCACAGGAGGGCAUAUGCACAAAGACAUUAAAUGUAAAAGAAAUGGCCUGUGCUGAGCAACAGAGAAAGCUGUAUCAGAGAUAAAACCAAACAGUAAGCUUCCUAUGACACAGCUCCAGUGGAAGAAGAGAAAGCACCACCUCAUUACUGCAAGGUGGAAACAGAAGUCCAAGAGAGAUUCUUUGUUACCACUUGACAUGGAUGGGAAUCUAGGUACUCCCUGAUGGAGAGAAGGAGGACUGCCUCAUUAUGCUCACCAUGUAACCUACAAUAGCACCAUGGAAGGGGGAUGUGGACGUCUGUUAUCACUGGGUGGUUGUGAAAGCCCUGACUCUAUUGGCUUCUUUGGACAUAAUGCCAGUGGGGAGGGGGAAGAAUGCCUCAUUAAUGCCAUCUGUGGGUAGAAAUCCAGGCUACCCACUUUGCUUUUUGAUAGUGUGGUGGGGGAUGGGGCCACAUAUUUUUUUCUGCGAUAUUUAGCAGAAAUACAAAGCAGUUAUUGCCAAC
This is a long non-coding RNA of Homo sapiens (human), 626 nucleotides long. Ensembl annotates it as DIAPH3 antisense RNA 1. Its record names the gene DIAPH3-AS1. NCBI's taxonomy places the organism in Eukaryota, Metazoa, Chordata, Mammalia, Primates, Hominidae. The record is from Ensembl.